RNAcentral lists this long non-coding RNA (551 nucleotides) under Capsicum annuum. RNAcentral's name for it is "long non-coding RNA (CANN_LNC020372)". The record is from RNAcentral. Lineage: Eukaryota; Viridiplantae; Streptophyta; Magnoliopsida; Solanales; Solanaceae.
CAAAGCUCAAGUCCAACCUUCUUAGUGGACAUUCAACUUGAUACCUUAAUUGCAUCCAUGGCAAGACCUAAGCAUGAUCAAGCCCAAUGUUCAUAGUCUACGGCUUCAACUCUCUUGGAACAUGGCUGCACGACCUGGCAGACAUGGCUCAUCCUCUUGACCACCCGACUUAUCGGCAUAUCCCCUUUUUUAACUCAGCCUAGACUCUUUCAUGGCUGACAACCCUGGAUCGUCGCUUUGCAUGAACAAGCUACUUGACUGACAAGCUUCUGAUGCACUUCUCCAACCUUGGUUGACGUCCUUGUCAAGUCCAUGGUCUCUUCUGACCAUAGUUGCCAACAUACCGCUAACAGAGUUUCUGACGGACCAACGGUUCCCUACAAUCAAGGACAUUUGAGCACCAACUAUCCGAUUGUCCAACUUUGUGGUUCCACUCAAACAGCAUCGCACGAUGACCACACCUGUUGGUCCAAUGUGCCUCUAUCGAAUCCCUCUGCAUACGGUACCCACUGAUUUGAAGUCAUCCCUUGAAGGUCUCUCAAUCACUCUCG